ACUGCAAAGCUUCUGAUGAAAAAAGGAACCGACCCCGAGACCAGGAACUUCAAAAAUGACCUGCCGUCUCAGCUGGUACCUGAUGGACCCGUAGGUGAAAAGUUAGGGUGUGUAAAUCUGUUGAUGAUACUGCAGUCACCUCCUUUUUCACAUGUGAUAAUCUGGACUGACUUUAUUUUUCAGGUGCAGAGGAUCCUGAAAAGGAAGUAUUGUCAAACUUAAGUGAAGCUCAGAAACGCUGUCAGUCUGACGGUCCGGUCUAUCACAGGAAUAUUUGCCAGAAUGAGGCAGAUGACGGUCGUGUCAGUGAAACAUGCCCAGAGGACAAAUAUUUGCAUAGUUUGUUUUCAGACUUUUUUAUGACUUACUGUUUUAAACAUUUAAUCAUGCUUUUGGUUUUUAAAUAAAACAGUUUAAUUAGAUUUCAACUUCAAAAGUUUACAUGAUACUUUUGAAUAACCGC
Molecule: non-coding RNA, 463 nt
Organism: Xyrichtys novacula (pearly razorfish)
Lineage: Eukaryota; Metazoa; Chordata; Actinopteri; Labriformes; Labridae
Source: the annotation of a GenBank genome assembly